This 529-nucleotide ribosomal RNA is filed under the name uncultured bacterium. RNAcentral's name for it is "partial 16S ribosomal RNA". It matches the Rfam family "Bacterial small subunit ribosomal RNA", at positions 355 to 874 of the family's 1533-position model. The record is from RNAcentral.
UGGGGAAUUUUGGACAAUGGGCGAAAGCCUGAUCCAGCAAUGCCGCGUGUGUGAAGAAGGCCUUCGGGUUGUAAAGCACUUUUGUCCGGAAAGAAAUCCUCUGGGUUAAUACCUCGGGGGGAUGACGGUACCGGAAGAAUAAGCACCGGCUAACUACGUGCCAGCAGCCGCGGUAAUACGUAGGGUGCAAGCGUUAAUCGGAAUUACUGGGCGUAAAGCGUGCGCAGGCGGUUUUGUAAGACGGAUGUGAAAUCCCCGGGCUUAACCUGGGAACUGCAUUCGUGACUGCAAGGCUAGAGUAUGGCAGAGGGGGGUUAGAAUUCCACGUGUAGCAGUGAAAUGCGUAGAGAUGUGGAGGAAUACCGAUGGCGAAGGCAGCCCCCUGGGCCAAGUACUGACGCUCAUGCACGAAAGCGUGGGGAGCAAACAGGAUUCAGAUACCCUGGUAGUCCACGCCCUAAACGAUGUCAACUAGUUGUUGGGGAUUCAUUUCCUUAGUAACGUAGCUAACGCGUGAAGUUGACCGCCU